RNAcentral lists this ribosomal RNA (504 nucleotides) under uncultured bacterium. RNAcentral describes it as "bacterial SSU rRNA". It matches the Rfam family "Bacterial small subunit ribosomal RNA", at positions 28 to 520 of the family's 1533-position model. The record is from RNAcentral.
GAUGAACGCUAGCUACAGGCUUAACACAUGCAAGUCGAGGGGCAGCAUGAAAUCAGCUUGCUGAUUUUGAUGGCGACCGGCGCACGGGUGAGUAACGCGUAUCCGACCUGCCCCGUACUCAUGGAUAGCCUUGCGAAAGCAAGGGUAAUACAUGAUGUUGUCAUUGUUCUGCAUGGGAUGAUGACCAAAGGUUUACCGGUACGGGAUGGGGAUGCGUAACAUUAGGUAGUAGGCGGGGUAACGGCCCACCUAGCCUACGAUGUUUAGGGGUUCUGAGAGGAAGGUCCCCCACACUGGAACUGAGACACGGUCCAGACUCCUACGGGAGGCAGCAGUGAGGAAUAUUGGUCAAAUGGUCGAGAGACUGAACCAGCCAAGUAGCGUGCAGGAUGACGGCCCUCCGGGUUGUAAACUGCUUUUAGUGGGAAUAAAGUUCGGGACGUGUCCCGUUUUGUAUGUACCAUCAGAAAAAGGACCGGCUAAUUCCGUGCCAGCAGCCGACGG